UAGCAAACGUGUUAAUUAACUCUAAUUACACAGCACACAGCGACUUCUCCAAGGACUUUUACUUCAGAUCUGCAUGUAAAUGUUCCCCCACUCAUCUUAAUCACACCAGGCAGCUAAUUAAUUGAAUGUGAAUAGUUCUGCAAAUUAUCCAAUUAUGCAAAUUUCCCUGGACACUAUCAGACCAGAAGGGAGGAAGGAUCACUCACUAAGAUUUUGUUCUUAAGAGAUUUAAGAAGGACAAAGAGGGAAAAGAGGAGGUGAAGGAAAAAAGAAGAAAAGAAGAGGAAGAAGAUGAAGAUGAUAAUGAUAAUGUGACUGGCUUUAACCGGUUAAUAAGAAUGUAAAAAAAAAUUAAAAAGAAUGUCAAGAUUUUCAAUAGCAGC
Molecule: long non-coding RNA, 383 nt
Filed under: Phascolarctos cinereus (koala)
Lineage: Eukaryota; Metazoa; Chordata; Mammalia; Diprotodontia; Phascolarctidae
Description: lncRNA (ENSPCIG00000011238.2)
Source: RNAcentral